GAAGUUGGAGUCGCUAGUAAUCGCAGAUCAGCAACGCUGCGGUGAGUACGUUCCCGGGCCUUGUACACACCGCCCGUCACGUCAUGAAAGUCGGUAACACCCGAAGCCGGUGGCCUAACCCUCUGGGAGGGAGCCGUCGAAGGUGGGAUUGGCGAUUGGGACGAAGUCGUAACAAGGUAGCCGUACCGGAAGGUGCGGCUGGAUCACCUCCUUU
Molecule: ribosomal RNA, 214 nt
Filed under: Nocardia otitidiscaviarum
Lineage: Bacteria; Bacillati; Actinomycetota; Actinomycetes; Mycobacteriales; Nocardiaceae
Description: partial 16S ribosomal RNA
Rfam family: Bacterial small subunit ribosomal RNA
Source: RNAcentral